Molecule: ribosomal RNA, 445 nt
Filed under: uncultured bacterium
Lineage: Bacteria
Description: SSU rRNA
Rfam family: Bacterial small subunit ribosomal RNA
Source: RNAcentral
AGAACGAACGCUGGCGGCAGGCUUAACACAUGCAAGUCGAGCGCCCCGCAAGGGGAGCGGCAGACGGGUGAGUAACGCGUGGGAACGUACCCCCCGGUUCGGAAUAACUCAGGGAAACUUGAGCUAAUACCGGAUACGGCUGGAAGGCGAAAGAUUCAUCGCCGGGGGAUCGGCCCGCGUCCGAUUAGCUAGUUGGUGUGGUAACGGCGCACCAAGGCGACGAUCGGUAGCUGGUCUGAGAGGAUGAUCAGCCACAUUGGGACUGAGACACGGCCCAAACUCCUACGGGAGGCAGCAGUGGGGAAUAUUGGACAAUGGGCGCAAGCCUGAUCCAGCCAUGCCGCGUGAGUGAUGAAGGCCUUAGGGUUGUAAAGCUCUUUCACCCACGACGAUAAUGACGGUAGUGGGAGAAGAACGCCCCGGCUAACUUCGUGCCAGCAGCCGC